AGCAGUCGCCGCGGGAAUACGUAGGUGGCAAGCGUUGUCCGGAAUUAUUGGGCGUAAAGGGCUCGCAGGCGGUUUCUUAAGUCUGAUGUGGAAGCCCCCGGCUCAACCGGGGAGGGUCAUUGGAAACUGGGAAACUUGAGUGCAGAAGAGGAGAGUGGAAUUCCACGUGUAGCGGUGAAAUGCGUAGAGAUGUGGAGGAACACCAGUGGCGAAGGCGACUCUCUGGUCUGUAACUGACGCUGAGGAGCGAAAGCGUGGGGAGCGAACAGGAUUAGAUACCCGUGUAGUCCCUGUCUCUUAUAC
Molecule: ribosomal RNA, 303 nt
Filed under: uncultured bacterium
Lineage: Bacteria
Description: partial 16S ribosomal RNA
Rfam family: Bacterial small subunit ribosomal RNA
Source: RNAcentral